Molecule: long non-coding RNA, 374 nt
Organism: Armigeres subalbatus
Lineage: Eukaryota; Metazoa; Arthropoda; Insecta; Diptera; Culicidae
Exons: 3
Source: RefSeq, a predicted model, not a curated record
UGUACCGCGAGAUGAGUUUGGCGGCGUUUAUCGUUUGAAUGGCGUGACUGCCGAUGAUGAUGAUGACGACGACGACAACGGCGGAGACUUCGGUGACUGAAACGCGGUCUGGCUUGAGAUGAUGUGAAGGAAGUUUAAAGCAUCUCAGCAAGCACAGCAACAAACAUUCUUCGAAUUCCACCAGUACAAGACGAUCGAUUUUUUGAUAAUGCGGAACCGAUUUUUUCCCGGUUUUUUUGUUACUAUUUUUUCGGAAGUUUAUGCCACUUCGUGGGAGGUAGCCGUACCGUAAAGGUAGGUAAGUAUAGUUAGGUGGUGGUGUGCAGGUGGAUCAAAAUGCAACCGAUGGCGAUGACUCACGAUGGCAGCGUUGG